CUUAAGCAUAUCAAUAAGCGGAGGAAAAGAAACCAACAGGGAUUGCCCUAGUAACGGCGAGUGAAGCGGCAACAGCUCAAAUUUGAAAUCUGGCUCUCGGGCCCGAGUUGUAAUUUGUAGAGGAUACUUUUGAUGCGGUGCCUUCCGAGUUCCCUGGAACGGGACGCCAUAGAGGGUGAGAGCCCCGUCUGGUUGGAUGCCAAAUCUCUGUAAAGUUCCUUCAACGAGUCGAGUAGUUUGGGAAUGCUGCUCUAAAUGGGAGGUAUAUGUCUUCUAAAGCUAAAUACCGGCCAGAGACCGAUAGCGCACAAGUAGAGUGAUCGAAAGAUGAAAAGCACUUUGAAAAGAGAGUUAAAAAGUACGUGAAAUUGUUGAAAGGGAAGCGUUUAUGACCAGACUUGGGCUUGGUUAAUCAUCUGGGGUUCUCCCCAGUGCACUUUUCCAGUCCAGGCCAGCAUCAGUUUUCCCCGGGGGAUAAAGACGGCGGGAAUGUGGCUCUCUUCGGGGAGUGUUAUAGCCCACCGUGUAAUACCCUGGGGGGGACUGAGGUUCGCGCAUCUGCAAGGAUGCUGGCGUAAUGGUCAUCAACGACCCGUCUUGAAACACGGACCAAGGAGUCGUCUUCGUAUGCGAGUGUUCGGGUGUCAAACCCCUACGCGUAAUGAAAGUGAACGCAGGUGAGAGCUUCGGCGCAUCAUCGACCGAUCCUGAUGUUCUCGGAUGGAUUUGAGUAAGAGCAUACGGGGCCGGACCCGAAAGAAGGUGAACUAUGCCUGUAUAGGGUGAAGCCAGAGGAAACUCUGGUGGAGGCUCGCAGCGGUUCUGACGUGCAAAUCGAUCGUCAAAUAUGGGCAUGGGGGCGAAAGACUAAUCGAACCUUCUAGUAGCUGGUUUCCGCCGAAGU
This 904-nucleotide ribosomal RNA is filed under the name Fusarium oxysporum. RNAcentral's name for it is "LSU rRNA". It matches the Rfam family "Eukaryotic large subunit ribosomal RNA", at positions 33 to 967 of the family's 3401-position model. Lineage: Eukaryota; Fungi; Ascomycota; Sordariomycetes; Hypocreales; Nectriaceae. The record is from RNAcentral.